UAUUGCCUGCGGUGUUCGUGAUCGGAGAUAUUCUCUUGGGUCAAUAUAUAUCCAGGGGAUUCCUAAUGCCUAUAGCUGAAUUGCUAUCCCAUGAGGAGAAACAGGAUGCUUUGGAACGGAAGCCCACUUGAACGUCAGAGUUCAAGAGGAUCAUACUCGAACGGCAUCGCGGGUUUUUU
This 179-nucleotide non-coding RNA is filed under the name Calditrichota bacterium. Its description in RNAcentral is "Calditrichaeota bacterium 6S RNA". It matches the Rfam family "6S / SsrS RNA". From Rfam's summary of the family: E. coli 6S RNA was the first non coding RNA to be sequenced, but its function was unknown until recently. It consists of 184 nucleotides that fold into an extended hairpin structure with a large single-stranded internal bulge. Lineage: Bacteria; Pseudomonadati; Calditrichota. The record is from RNAcentral.